GUCGAACGAAGCAUAUAAAAGGAAUUUCUUCGGAGAGGAAUUUUAUCUUACUGAGUGGCGGACGGGUGAGUAACGCGUGGGCAACCUACCCCACACAGGGGGACAACAGUUGGAAACGACUGCUAAUACCGCAUAGGCGCACAGCUUCGCAUGAAGCAGUGUGGAAAACCGAGGUGGUGUGGGAUGGGCCCGCGUCUGAUUAGCUGGUUGGCGGGGUAACGGCCCACCAAGGCGACGAUCAGUAGCCGGCCUGAGAGGGUGGACGGCCACAUUGGGACUGAGACACGGCCCAAACUCCUACGGGAGGCAGCAGUGGGGAAUAUUGCACAAUGGGGGAAACCCUGAUGCAGCGACGCCGCGUGAGCGAAGAAGUAUUUCGGUAUGUAAAGCUCUAUCAGCAGGGAAGAAAAUGACGGUACCUGACUAAGAAGCCCCGGCUAAAUACGUGCCAGCAGCCGCGGUAAUACGUAUGGGGCAAGCGUUAUCCGGAUUUACUGGGUGUAAAGGGAGCGCAGGCGGCUUGGCAAGUCUGAUGUGAAAGGCUGGGGCUCAACCCCAGGACUGCAUUGGAAACUGUUAGGCUGGAGUGUCGGAGAGGUAAGCGGAAUUCCUA
Molecule: ribosomal RNA, 613 nt
Filed under: uncultured bacterium
Lineage: Bacteria
Description: bacterial SSU rRNA
Rfam family: Bacterial small subunit ribosomal RNA
Source: RNAcentral